UGAUGGCCCCCAUUUCCCAAAUGCCUACUAUAUUUCAGGAUUUCUCAGCAAGGACUGGUAGAACUUGACUUGACUGCCAGCUUUUAUCUGCAGGACCGGACUUCACAAAGCAGGGUGAAAGAAUUUGCAUGAUCUCCAUGGUGGCUAAUCAUAUAAUUUCCAGUUUCAGCAGCUGGCACCAGCUAUUUGCUCCCCCGCUACCCAAGCAAUUCUAGUAACUGUGAGAUAUCCUAUGAAUCACAGAACAAAUGCCCAACUCCUUUCUACAGUCACGGGGUCAGAGUACACAGCCAACCCACUAGCAGAGCUGGAGUUAUGGUUUGAGCCAAAGUACAACAAGGAAGGAGGAAGCCCCAACCUACCCCGGACAUGCCCUGAAUGACACAGCCAUUUAGGGCCUGCCAAAGAUGCCAUUCUGUUUGCAAACACAUAUUACCUGCCAUAUCACUCAACAAAAUAAUUCCAUCAGAAGGCCUGAAGGCAAAUGACUAAUGUUAAAAGUGGCCCAUGCAUCAUUUCAGUGACAACUCCACAGGCGCCAAUUAAACAUGGAAAAGACCUGUUCUGAAGCAUGCCCAUCUGGCAUUUCCCAAGGAACUGUAGUCAAUGGCUGAUAAAACAUACAUGAUCAUAACUAUAAAGAAAUUUCGCAGCCCUCUCCUUGCUCAAAAGCAACCGGGGCCUAUGAGGACAAUGAACCUGGAAGACACCCAAAAGAGGAGGUGAGUAAAGAAAAGCCUGCAUUUGAAGCCACCACUGCUCUUCCUCAUGCACAGAAAGCAAAGAUCGGGAGUUGCAUGAGGUCAGAUUUUCAGCCACCAAAAACAAACAAACAAAAAAACCAACCAAACCUCAAAAAAAACCCAGACGGGUCUAGGGAAUACUUGGGAGUUUGUCUGGUAGUCUGUGGGUGAACUUCAAUUGUUAUGUCUCCGAGUGAAAUAAAGGAUUGGCAGUAGUCC
Molecule: long non-coding RNA, 962 nt
Filed under: Homo sapiens (human)
Lineage: Eukaryota; Metazoa; Chordata; Mammalia; Primates; Hominidae
Description: HSALNT0313786
Source: RNAcentral